RNAcentral lists this ribosomal RNA (506 nucleotides) under uncultured bacterium. RNAcentral's name for it is "partial 16S ribosomal RNA". It matches the Rfam family "Bacterial small subunit ribosomal RNA", at positions 28 to 523 of the family's 1533-position model. The record is from RNAcentral.
GAUGAACGCUAGCUACAGGCUUAACACAUGCAAGUCGAGGGGUAACAAGAGGAAAGCUUGCUUUUCUUGUUGACGACCGGCGCACGGGUGAGUAACGCGUAUCCAACCUGCCUAUAACUAGGGAAUAACCUUGCGAAAGUAAGACUAAUACCCUAUGAUUUCCUUUGAUGACAUCAGAUUAGGAAUAAAGAUUUAUCGGUUAUAGAUGGGGAUGCGUCUGAUUAGCUUGUUGGCGGGGUAACGGCACACCAAGGCAAAGAUCAGUAGGGGUUCUGAGAGGAAGGUCCCCCAAAUUGGAACUGAGACACGGUCCAAACUCCUACGGGAGGCAGCAGUGAGGAAUAUUGGUAAAUGGGCGGAAGCCUGAACCAGCCAAGUAGCGUGCAGGAUGACGGCCCUAUGGGUUGUAAACUGCUUUUAUACAGGAAUAAAGUUAGCCACGUGUGGUUAUUUGUAGGUACUGUAUGAAUAAGGACCGGCUAAUUCCGUGCCAGCCGCCGCCGUAA